CCAUUAGAGCGGCCCGCGUCUGAUUAGCUAGUUGGUGAGGUAAAGGACCUACCAAGGCGACGAUCCAUAGCUGGUCUGAGAGGACGACCAGCCACACUGGGACUGAGGCACGGCCCAGACUCCUACGGGAGGCAGCAGUGGGGAAUUUUGGACAACGGGCGCAAGCCUGAUCCAGCCAUGCCGCGUGCAGGAUGAAG
RNAcentral lists this ribosomal RNA (197 nucleotides) under Aeromonas salmonicida subsp. salmonicida 01-B526. RNAcentral describes it as "partial 16S ribosomal RNA". It matches the Rfam family "Bacterial small subunit ribosomal RNA", at positions 218 to 413 of the family's 1533-position model. Lineage: Bacteria; Pseudomonadati; Pseudomonadota; Gammaproteobacteria; Aeromonadales; Aeromonadaceae. The record is from RNAcentral.